This 434-nucleotide ribosomal RNA is filed under the name uncultured bacterium. Its description in RNAcentral is "bacterial SSU rRNA". It matches the Rfam family "Bacterial small subunit ribosomal RNA", at positions 954 to 1392 of the family's 1533-position model. The record is from RNAcentral.
GCUUAACGCGAAGAACCUUACCUACCCUUGACAUGUCUGGAAUGCCGAAGAGAUUUGGCAGUGCUCGCAAGAGAACCGGAACACAGGUGCUGCAUGGCUGUCGUCAGCUCGUGUCGUUAGAUGUUGGGUUAAGUCCCGCAACGAGCGCAACCCUUGUCAUUAGUUGCUACGAAAGGGCACUCUAAUGAGACUGCCGGUGACAAACCGGAGGAAGGUGGGGAUGACGUCAAGUCCUCAUGGCCCUUAUGGGUAGGGCUUCACACGUCAUACAAUGGUCGGGACAGAGGGUCGCCAACCCGCGAGGGGGAGCCAAUCCCAGAAACCCGAUCGUAGUCCGGAUCGCAGUCUGCAACUCGACUGCGUGAAGUCGGAAUCGCUAGUAAUCGCGGAUCAGCAUGUCGCGGUGAAUACGUUCCCGGGUCUUGUACACACCG